AAAAAAAUUAAUUAUUAGGAUGCUAGUAACCGGAUAUAUGGUGGAGCGAACGUUCAAAUGUUGAACGUUCGCUCCACCUUAAGAAGGCGUUCGGCAGCGCGAUGGGAGCGCCGCCCUGUAGCAAGGAAUAAUGGGAUGGCUCUUCUCUGAUUGGCCAACUAUUUUCACUCCAAGCAGGAUGUUUGUAGCUUGAAGCCAAAUAUUGCAGUGCUUCAAAGGCAAGAAUUGACUCCUUUCUCGCAGAGAAAUUCCGCAGCGGGAUAAGUACCGCUAUUUGUAGCAUGGAAGAAAGCAAAACACAGACUACCACAGCAGCAAGAAGUUGUCACGGCAUUGUUGGACAACUUGCAAGAAACUGGCAGAGCUGGUCCAAGGAUCGUGUGGCUUAUCAGCAACGAAACCCAUUUAGCAAUGGCAACCAAGUAACCCAACGCACUGAGAAAGAGGAUCCCACUUAUGGGAGACCACCUGAAGGCUCCAAAACUGAGCAGAGAGGAAAAGAUGCACACGCACAUAUAGGCAAAGAAGUGGAAGAACUAUGCUUAAUUAUACUCAACACUGGAAAGAGGGAACAGGAUGGACAAGUGAGAAUAACAUUUAAACAGCUCUUUGAUAGGUAUGUGACUAUAUCCAAUAAACUAGUAGGUGUCCUCUUAAGAGCAAGGAAGCAUGGCCUGGUUGACUUUGAAGGUGAAAUGCUUUGGCAAGGAAAAGAUGAUAGUGUAGUUAUUACUUUGUUUGAACAAGAUAAAGAUUAUCCAGCUACUUCAUGAUUAAUUCAGAAAUCUGUUAAAGCUCUUGAAACAUCAAAAUGACUGCCUGGCUUAGAACAUAGGGAAGCAAUUGUCAUAAAAUGAAACUUAUGUUUUAAAAUACUUGGUCAUUAUGCAGUAAGAAAUAUGUACUUAUUAAAGGAAUUUAGUCAACAUA
This is a non-coding RNA of Pantherophis guttatus, 930 nucleotides long. The record is from RefSeq and is a predicted model, not a curated record. Lineage: Eukaryota; Metazoa; Chordata; Lepidosauria; Squamata; Colubridae.